RNAcentral lists this ribosomal RNA (606 nucleotides) under Aureobasidium pullulans. RNAcentral's name for it is "eukaryotic LSU rRNA". It matches the Rfam family "Eukaryotic large subunit ribosomal RNA", at positions 37 to 658 of the family's 3401-position model. Lineage: Eukaryota; Fungi; Ascomycota; Dothideomycetes; Dothideales; Saccotheciaceae. The record is from RNAcentral.
UGCAUAUCCAAAAGCGGAGGAAAAGAAACCAACAGGGAUUGCCCUAGUAACGGCGAGUGAAGCGGCAACAGCUCAAAUUUGAAAGCUAGCCUUCGGGUUCGCAUUGUAAUUUGUAGAGGAUGAUUUGGGGAAGCCGCCUGUCUAAGUUCCUUGGAACAGGACGUCAUAGAGGGUGAGAAUCCCGUAUGUGACAGGAAAUGGCACCCUAUGUAAAUCUCCUUCGACGAGUCGAGUUGUUUGGGAAUGCAGCUCUAAAUGGGAGGUAAAUUUCUUCUAAAGCUAAAUAUUGGCGAGAGACCGAUAGCGCACAAGUAGAGUGAUCGAAAGAUGAAAAGCACUUUGGAAAGAGAGUUAAAAAGCACGUGAAAUUGUUGAAAGGGAAGCGCUUGCAAUCAGACUUGUUUAAACUGUUCGGCCGGUCUUCUGACCGGUUUACUCAGUUUGGACAGGCCAGCAUCAGUUUCGGCGGCCGGAUAAAGGCUCUGGGAAUGUGGCCUCCACUUCGGUGGAGGUGUUAUAGCCCAGGGUGUAAUACGGCCAGCCGGGACUGAGGUCCGCGCUUCGGCUAGGAUGCUGGCGUAAUGGUUGUAAGCGACCCGUCUUGAA